This 4168-nucleotide long non-coding RNA is filed under the name Lactuca sativa (garden lettuce). Its description in RNAcentral is "long non-coding RNA (LSAT_LNC007916)". The record is from RNAcentral. Lineage: Eukaryota; Viridiplantae; Streptophyta; Magnoliopsida; Asterales; Asteraceae.
CAGAUCUAUGCAAAAAUCAUAUUUUCCAUCCUCUAUUUCAGUAAGGCAAUAAACCUAGUUCCGCGAAGCAGAAGGUACUGAUUACAAAAGAAGAUAAGAAGGUGGAGAAGAUGAUGAACAAUACCUAUAUAGAGCUGGUACUAAUUUUGAAGAUCUAAACUGGAGAGUCACACACACCAGAGAAAACACACACACACACACACACACAAUGUAUUGAAGAUCUGAACCAGAGGAAGCCGACAUAAAAGACCGAUAAAAACCACAACACAAAAACAAGCUUGAAACUUUGAUUUUCGGGUGUAUCUGAGGUCGAAGAUGUUGGUGGUAAUCAAAACACCGAUCUGAUUUUCCCAGCGCUCUGGUCUCGUGGAUGGUGGACCUCGACGGAGAUGUUUGGGCUAGGGGAGAGGACCGAUGGGUGAGAAAGGAAAACGGUGGAUUUGGGUUUUGAAGAAGAUGAAAAUGGUGGAUUGAGUUCUUGGUAUUGAAACAAAAGUUUCCAUUUUUUUUAGAGAGAGAGAGAGAUUUUCUUUUUUAUUUUUCUUUUAAUUAUAAAAGGAUUUGAAUAAAUAAAACAAUUGAAAAAGUAAAAUCAAAGGGCAAAAUGGUCAUUAUUAAAAAAUUUAAAGUAAAUUGGACCAAAGUGGCAAGAAAAUGAAAACCUUUGGAUCAUGAGUGCUAGUCCAAACCUAUUUGGCCCAGAGUGACAAUUUCGACCAAACCACAGGGACCAUUCUUGCAAUUUUGUCUAAGAAAAAUUAGGGCUAGGAUCCAACAACAAUAUUUACAUAUUAGAAAAGGGAUGCCGUAAUCUAACAUGCAAAUAAUAUGAAGGUAAGUGAAUGACGAUUCACUAAUUCUCCACCAUAAAACAUAACUUUAUGUCCUAAAUUUAUUGAGAAUUCCUACAUUUCGACCAAACCACAGGGACCAUUCUUGCAAUUUUGUCUAAGAAAAAUUAGGGCUAGGAUCCAACAACAAUAUUUACAUAUUAGAAAAGGGAUGCCGUAAUCUAACAUGCAAAUAAUAUGAAGGUAAGUGAAUGACGAUUCACUAAUUCUCCACCAUAAAACAUAACUUUAUGUCCUAAAUUUAUUGAGAAUUCCUACGUUUGGAUGAGAUUCAUUGAAACUCUUCAAUGGCAUGUUUAAAUCUCGAUAUGCCCCUCUUGUUUGUGACUGGGAUACCGAGGAUCACAAAGCGGGUGUGAAUUACCAUGCAAAUUCACAUGGUGCCUUCAUUGUAACGAUCACCUAUUCGAUGUGCCGGUAAACCACACACGCUCCAUCGAACUAUGAUAAACAAUGAAUCACCCUUUGCCACCUUUGCUUAGAACCAAUUAGUGUGCCGGUAAACCACACACGCUCCACUAACUUCUUAGCAAGGGUGCAAAGUGUAAUUUCAUGGGAUUGCAUCAAUUCACUUUUCCUAAAGUAACUAAGAUUGGGAAAUUUUUGAAAAACAUGUAGUUACUUUGUAUUUCAUAUUAUACUUUUAAUGAGAGGAUGAGGUUGCCCUAUCCUACCCGUUCGGCUAACGACCCUCCACCGAUCAAGCAAGCGGUGGGUGUGAGUGUACACCCAUUAAGCGCCAUUUUAUAGGCCGCAACCUUAUACCCACCUUAUAGAUCGGCUUCGUGAAUGAGGCCUACUAACGGUAAGACUAGCAUUUUAGUUAUAUAUAUAUAUAUAUAUUAAUCUUGUAAUAUUAUAUUAGUAUAGGGUUGGAUUUUAAACUUGUAAAAUUCUAGGGUUUGAAAUUUAAAUUGUCUAAAUUAAACUUUUAAUCACAAAACAUAAAUUUCAAAACUUGAGGGCAAGUUUUAAACAUUUAAAACAUGGAGGAUCAAAUAACAAAUAAUCUUAAUUAACAAUUAAUUCCAUAAUUAUCCAUAUUUGAUUUAUUUAAUGAUUUCUUGCAAAAUAAAUUACCAAUUUAAUCAAAAUAAUUAAUUAAUUAUCACAUAAGGAAAUUAAAUAUUUUAUUAAUUGAUAAAUAUCUUUAAUUAGAUCAAGAUUAUAGUCAUAUAUAUCAAAAAAUCGGAUUAGGGUUGAUCUAAUAUGAUAAAGCCAAGUUUCCAUAAGAUAAAUAUCAAAAAAUCCCGAUUUUAGCUCUUCCUGACGCUCGGACUCGCCGAGUCCACCAUGGGACUCGCCGAGUCCAUGACUCAGAAUCACAAAAUUCAAAUUUUGCAAGCAAGAAACAAACAAUCAUGCAUCAAUUUAAUAGAAACCAGUCUAGGCUCUGAUACCACUGAUGGUUUUUGGCCAUAUGAACAUUCAUAUGUGCACAUGCAAACUCUGAUGCAUGGAUCUAGGUUUCUCUAAUUAAACAUGCAUUGAAUCCAAGACUUUUAAUGGCUAAUAGAGUAUAAGAACAAUACAAAAUCAGAGUUAGAAGCUUACCUUGAAACACUUGUUUGAUCUUCUUGUUCUUGGAGCUUUAGAGUCACAAAUGUCACUCCUCUAAUGGCUUACAAACACCAACUAGCAAGAGGAUGAUUUGAGAGAGAGGAGAGGGAGUAGAAAUCGGCCAGGGUUUCUUUGCUUUAGCAGAGGUGCCGAUUUCCCUUGCCCCAAGGGUCUAUUUAUACUUGUAAGGCUCCUAGGGUUUCACCCUUAAACCCUAGUUGGAUAAUCUUUACUCAAAGCAAUCCAAAUCCUUUCCUAAGAUAAGCCCUUGGACGAUUUGUGGCUUAUCCCAAGCCCUUGAAAUCGUCCAACCAUAUCCAAGAAGGAUUUACAGCCCAAGGUGUAACUAUCAAACAAUUGAUAGUUUAUACCCUCUUAUUUAAUUAAUCUUCUUAAGUCACCAAAUUAAUUCUAAUUAAUUUUAUGACUUAUAUUAAUCAAAUAACAAUAUUAUUAUUCCUUAUAUUAUUCUCAUAAUAUAUUAAUAAUAUUUAUUCUCUCAUAAUAAAUCAUCCUGUCAAGUUGCUAUGGUGAAGGCAACCCAAAAGGACCAUGCACAAUCGGGUCAAAUACUUGCCUAAUAUAGUUGCAGCCUUAGACACUAUUCCAACAAUUAUUUGUAUUAAUUACUGAAUUCAUAACUACCUUAAAACCAAUGGUUUAAUUAAGGCAAAAUGUGAUAUGAUUGUUACCAUGCUAAUCUGACUAUAACACGACGAUGAAACACGUCUGAACAACAAAGGUGUAGGAUAGUCAAUCCAAUAUAGAUCUAUACGCAAACUCACGCUCUCCCUCCAGGAGAUUCUGGUUACAAAACGUGAUAUAACAAAAUGGUCAAUGUGUCAAGAAGUAGUAUUUCACAUUAUGUUAUCUCUAAACCUUGUUAUAGUAUGCUUCUUAUAGUAAUAGUAUUCUAUGUAUUGUAUUCUCUGAAUAGUAUCCUUGUUAUAGUAUGCUCUGUCUAGUAUUCUCUAUUAUAGUAUUCUCUAUUAUAUUAUUCUCUGUUAUAGUAUUCUCUGUUAUAGUAUUUGUAUAUGAUAGUAUCCUCCUAAACUAUACCUAUUAUAGUUUACUAGUAAGUUAUGUAUAUGAAUAGAUGAAUGUACACCCUUGCUACCUAAAGGUAAUGAACCGAUUGAAUAGAACUUUUAUGUAUACAUAUGUAUACAUAAUAUAUAUCUAAUAUUUAUACAACCUUCGGAAAACUGACCGAUACCCUAAGUCCACAUCCAAACAAGGAAAAGGAAAUAAAGCGAGCUAGCAAUCCUAAGUCCUUUAAACAUUAUGUAUAUAACUAUACAUAUAUAUAUAUAUAUAUAUAUAUAUAUACAUGCUUUUGACAGUAUAUAUAAGUUGAAAAGAGGUUUUGUAAUACAUUUAAAGAGUUUUGAACAAUCAAUAAAUAAUGACUUGAUGUCAGUUUAUAAAACGAUUUAAAAGUAGAUUGUUUUGAAACAUAGUUUGAAGUAUAUGAAAUCCUUGUUUGAAACACAGUUAUAAAUCACAUGUGAUUGAUUUUGUAACUAGCAUGUUACCUACUUGUAUUCCCCCUCCCCCCUUUUAAUCAUUGAAAAUAUAAGUUUCAGGGAUAUGAACUCACCUGAAGUGAAUGAUGCGAUAGUAGGAUCGGUAACGGAUGCUAAGUGUCAAGUGAGGACUUAAACACACACAAUGAUCCUGGUUAACAUAUAAUGAAACAUAUAUGUAUCUAAUUACUCAUUUAACAACUAAUUAACCAAGUUAAAACACUCUAGGAC